This 467-nucleotide ribosomal RNA is filed under the name uncultured bacterium. RNAcentral describes it as "partial 16S ribosomal RNA". It matches the Rfam family "Bacterial small subunit ribosomal RNA", at positions 28 to 506 of the family's 1533-position model. The record is from RNAcentral.
GACGAACGCUGGCGGCGUGCUUAACACAUGCAAGUCGAACGGAAAGGCCCUGCUUUUGUGGGGUGCUCGAGUGGCGAACGGGUGAGUAACACGUGAGUAACCUGCCCUUGACUUUGGGAUAACUUCAGGAAACUGGGGCUAAUACCGGAUAGGAGCUCCUGCUGCAUGGUGGGGGUUGGAAAGUUUCGGCGGUUGGGGAUGGACUCGCGGCUUAUCAGCUUGUUGGUGGGGUAGUGGCUUACCAAGGCUUUGACGGGUAGCCGGCCUGAGAGGGUGACCGGCCACAUGGGGACUGGGAUACGGCCCAGACUCCUACGGGGGGCAGCAGUGGGGAAUAUUGCACAAUGGGCGGAAGCCUGAUGCAGCAACGCCGCGUGCGGGAUGACGGCCUUCGGGUUGGAAACCGAUUUCGCCUGUGACGAAGCGUGAGUGACGGUAAUGGGGAAAGAAGCACCGGCUAACUACGU